This 440-nucleotide ribosomal RNA is filed under the name Acinetobacter ursingii. RNAcentral's name for it is "bacterial SSU rRNA". It matches the Rfam family "Bacterial small subunit ribosomal RNA", at positions 43 to 477 of the family's 1533-position model. Lineage: Bacteria; Pseudomonadati; Pseudomonadota; Gammaproteobacteria; Moraxellales; Moraxellaceae. The record is from RNAcentral.
CAGGCUUAACACAUGCAAGUCGAGCGGAGAGAGGUAGCUUGCUACUGAUCUUAGCGGCGGACGGGUGAGUAAUACUUAGGAAUCUGGCUAUUAGUGGGGGACAACAUUUCGAAAGGGAUGCUAAUACCGCAUACGUCCUACGGGAGAAAGCAGGGGAUCUUCGGACCUUGCGCUAAUAGAUGAGCCUAAGUCGGAUUAGCUAGUUGGUGGGGUAAAGGCCUACCAAGGCGACGAUCUGUAGCGGGUCUGAGAGGAUGAUCCGCCACACUGGGACUGAGACACGGCCCAGACUCCUACGGGAGGCAGCAGUGGGGAAUAUUGGACAAUGGGGGGAACCCUGAUCCAGCCAUGCCGCGUGUGUGAAGAAGGCCUUAUGGUUGUAAAGCACUUUAAGCGAGGAGGAGGGUACUGGUAUUAAUACUACCAGGUACUGGACGUUA